CUCUGGCGGAACUGCCCGGGUGGACAAACCGGAGGAAGGUGGGGAUGACGUCAAGUCAUCAUGGCCCCUAUGUCCAGGGCUACACACGUGCUACAAUGGGCGAUACAGAGUGACGCGAAGCCGCGAGGUGGAGCAAAUCGCAGAAAAUCGCUCUCAGUUCGGAUUGGAGUCUGAAACCCGACUCCAUGAAGGUGGAAUCGCUAGUAAUCGCGCAUCAGCAUGGCGCGGUGAAUACGUUCCCGGGCCUU
RNAcentral lists this ribosomal RNA (248 nucleotides) under uncultured Spirochaetaceae bacterium. RNAcentral's name for it is "partial 16S ribosomal RNA". It matches the Rfam family "Bacterial small subunit ribosomal RNA", at positions 1138 to 1382 of the family's 1533-position model. The record is from RNAcentral. Lineage: Bacteria; Pseudomonadati; Spirochaetota; Spirochaetia; Spirochaetales; Spirochaetaceae.